UGGGGAAUAUUGCACAAUGGGCGCAAGCCUGAUGCAGCCAUGCCGCGUGUGUGAAGAAGGCCUUCGGGUUGUAAAGCACUUUCAGCGGGGAGGAAGGCGAUAAGGUUAAUAACCUCAUCGAUUGACGUUACCCGCAGAAGAAGCACCGGCUAACUCCGUGCCAGCAGCCGCGGUAAUACGGAGGGUGUAAGCGUUAAUCGGAAUUACUGGGCGUAAAGCGCACGCAGGCGGUCUGUCAAGUCGGAUGUGAAAUCCCCGGGCUCAACCUGGGAACUGCAUUCGAAACUGGGAGGCUAGAGUCUUGUAGAGGGGGGUAGAAUUCCAGGUGUAGCGGUGAAAUGCGUAGAGAUCUGGAGGAAUACCGGUGGCGAAGGCGGCCCCCUGGGCGAAGACUGACGCGCAGGUGCGAAAGCGUGGGGAGCAAAAAGG
RNAcentral lists this ribosomal RNA (429 nucleotides) under Chloroflexota bacterium. RNAcentral describes it as "Chloroflexi bacterium partial 16S ribosomal RNA". It matches the Rfam family "Bacterial small subunit ribosomal RNA", at positions 355 to 776 of the family's 1533-position model. The record is from RNAcentral. Lineage: Bacteria; Bacillati; Chloroflexota.